UCUGGGGCAAGGUCUCCUGCUGUUGAGAGGACCUACUAGUGACAUGAACAAGAAUAGAGGGACGAAAAUGUAAAACCCACCUUGUAUAUACUACUCCCGUGGAGGGAUGGAAGGAUAAGGUCAAUCCUCAAUGUUCCAGACUUCUCUCCCCUUCUUGAGCUAAUCAACAUGGCAUCAGAGCCACCCGUCUCCGGCGAGGCAGCGGCGGCCGUGGAACGGCGUUGAGUGGGUUCAGAGGCGGCGGAAGUUGGUGGUCAACGGCGCUGUGAAGGAGGGAGACCUGGGCCCGUGAGGCGACUCAGUGCAGUGGUGGAACUGAGCAGAGUGCUGCGGCGGUGAAGGAGGUGCUGGGAGGAACAAGGCGGCGAGGAGCAGUGGUCUGAUUUACCAUGGGUGAGUUGGCUGUUUGUGUGGUUGCGUGUGGAGGUUGGCCAGGCUGGUGGUGUGAUUAGGGAGGAGAAAGGAGCCGACGGCUAGCUAGUACAGGGUGCAGAGGCUUGAAUCUAAGAAGUGGAAGUGCAGCGUGUAGAGGAGAUGGCUGAAAUCAGUGAUGCCCCAGCAGUUACUUUCGGUGAGCUUGCGGCUGUAUUGCGAGCGAUGGAUGAGAAAUACAGGGCUCUGUUUGAUGCAAUCAGCAAGCAAGCUAGCAGCUCCAAAUCAGAGGCUGAAAUAAAGGAGGAGAUACAUCCCUUACAGAUGCCACAUGUGAAGUUAGAGGGUCCUGAGAACUAUGUAAGCUGGGCUGAGCUAAUCAACACCUGCCCCCAUGGCAACAUCAACAUAGUCCACGCCAAGUUCAUCUCCAACCUGCCGGUAGAGGCCAUUGGGCGUAAGGUCGGUGUCUUAGUGUACCUGAGCAGCAUCUAAAGGUUAGUUUCCAGAAUUUGUCAGUUAUCUGCUUACCAUUCAGGUGUCGAUUCCAGAAUUUGUUGUUGCUCAAUGGGAAGUUUUCUAAAUCGACUUGUUAGUUGUUCAUGAUUCGAUGAUUUAUUUUUUGGUUUGGUCAAUGUUUGAAAUGUUGGUCGCACACUUGCAAUGUGCUGUCAUUCUUCUGCAGAACGAAUUGUGCAAUUUGAAAGUGUGAAAACGGGCACUAGGUGCGUGUACUGAUUACUGAAUUUGGUCCCACAUAAAAGUUUGCACUCUGGGCGAUAUUUAGGCCAUUCUCCUCUGCCCAUCUGAUGGGCAAGGUGUAUGGAUAUUUCUGUUCAUACAACAUUGCUGGACAUGUGACUUCACCAUGAUCAAAUGAGUAAUAGUCUCUUGGAUUUUGCACAUCCUUUGCGUCCUUUCCCACUUCAGGCAUUUGCAUGGACUGUCAACAAUUCAUUAUUUUUAAUGAAGAAUGUCUUAUAUACACUGGAUAAGAUAAGAUAGGGGCGGACGAACUAGGGCUGCUGCAAGGCCGAGGUGCCAGACGGCCUAAUUAUUAGAGUGAUGAUUUCCACAUGUAAUGAUGCUACGCUCAUAUUUUUUGCAUAGGAAUCUUCAGAUUUUACAUUGAAAUGUGGGCCUAUAGCUUGUAGAUGAUGUAUGAGGUUUGAAAUCUUCAGUGGUUCUUCCAGUUAAGGAGAGCUUAUCAGGUUUUCUUCCUGCUCUCAGUUGGCCUCUUGGGUGAUAUUUUUUGGACUAAUUUAAGGAAUCAGGUAAGCAUUCACCUUACAAGUCAUAAUAACUUUUCCGUAAAAUGGUCCAUCUGUUAAGUUUCUCAGCAAAGCGCACCACAAAUGUGACCAGAGCACUUCACAAUGGUCAUGGAAUUACAGUAAUUAUUGGGGUAGUGAUUAUUUAUGUUGACACCCUUCUGUUCGUUGUCAAGCAAUUCAGUAUUGGUGUUGAUGGACUUUUCUCUUUGGAUUGACAUAAAUACGGGGCAAUAUGAUUUAACGGUGAAGGAUGUCAGGCUAUGGUUAGGACAUGUGUACUAUGUAAUGGUUGGUUUGGCAUAAUAAUAAUAAUUCAUCUUUCCAUGUA
Long non-coding RNA from Triticum dicoccoides, 1974 nucleotides. RefSeq lists it as uncharacterized. Lineage: Eukaryota; Viridiplantae; Streptophyta; Magnoliopsida; Poales; Poaceae. The transcript has 2 exons. The record is from RefSeq and is a predicted model, not a curated record.